RNAcentral lists this long non-coding RNA (318 nucleotides) under Bos taurus (domestic cattle). RNAcentral describes it as "long non-coding RNA NONBTAT012188". The record is from RNAcentral. Lineage: Eukaryota; Metazoa; Chordata; Mammalia; Artiodactyla; Bovidae.
GCAUUUAGAAGAUGACCAAAGUACACCUGUAGGUAUGCACAGUCUUGGGGAUGCAGUCACUCUGGGUACUCUGAUGCUAACAUUGGAUAGAGAUCAAAGUUAAUGUGUAGCAGAAUUCCCAGACCAGGCCAAGAUCAGAAUACAUUUGGAAACUCAUUAGGAGCUCCACUUGCCUUGGUGUCUUUUCACUGGACAUGGCCUUGUGGCAAGGGUGACAGGCUGGGGAGCUAACAGCUUCCUAGCCUCACACCUACACUAGAAAACUCAAUCUUCUGUAGGGUCUAAGUUCAAGGUGAAGUCCCAGGGAUAGUAGCCUUA